This is a long non-coding RNA of Canis lupus familiaris (dog), 4281 nucleotides long. RefSeq lists it as uncharacterized. NCBI's taxonomy places the organism in Eukaryota, Metazoa, Chordata, Mammalia, Carnivora, Canidae. The transcript is spliced from 3 exons. The record is from RefSeq and is a predicted model, not a curated record.
GACAGAGAAGGAGGCCCUCCAUGUCCCAAGGGGGUUCUCUGCUGCCCAUCCACCGGGGACUCCAGGGAAGUUGGAGUGAGGACCACUGCCUCUCCCAGUGAGGAGACCGGGAGGCAUCAUCCUUCCAUGAAACCCCAUCUGGUAGAUUAGCCUGACCUGGUGAUGACAGGGGCCUCGCUGUGUUCUGCGGUGUGGGGAGGCUGGCGACCAACCUCCCUGAGCGUGGGCCGGGCUGAGUGCAGCACCCAUUCUGCACCGCAGACACCACAGAGUACCGUGCAUGGAGCUGCGCUCAGCGGGAAUGUCUGCCGAGACCAACUGUCCCUGAGAACUCUGAACGGAUGCCAUCGGACAUGUGGAAACGGAGGCCGUCCCAGUGGGAUGGAUGUUGAAUGGCCAAAUGAGAGAGACGGGGAAGGGGAAGCAUUGGUGAGAAUGUGAGGAAACAAGCCCUGCCCAGCGAUGUUCAGAAGGUGCUGUGGCUCAAGCGGACAAGUGGUUCAGCAGCCCCCAAGGAGAUCCAGCCACGCAGCUGCAGACACGAGGGGCUCACUGCCCACUUCUCUGGGCCCCUGAGAAGUUCAGAGCACAGGAAUGCACCACGUUAGCCUUCUGAAGAUCAUCCUGGGUUUCGUUCCAAGGAGCAUUUCCACCUGCUGGGAAUGUUUAGUUACAAACUGAGACAGAGGCAUAAAGCUUGAAGAGCUGAAAAACAUUAUGCAAAUCUAAUCACUUCUGGACCGUUUUCUGAGGUGCAAUUAUGUGGUGCAGCCAGACGAAAACAACUCAGAAGCCAAACACUCUUUUUCUCCCGGCUCAUUGUGUGCCUCCCCCAGCACCCGGACACUCUUCCCUUCUAAGUCUGUGAUUCUGAUGCUCCUCAAAUUCCCAUCACAGCAUCAUCCUGGGUCCAAAUUUCCCAAAUGUGAUCUACAAACCAGGACCACCUAGUAUUUUGGUUUAAAAUGAAGAUUUCCGGAUCCUACUCAGCACCCACCGUGCUCAUUUCCCCGGGCUGUCUUAGCAAACUGCAUGGCCUGGGGACUGAAGAGGGGGCUUAUUGUCUCCUUAUCUCAAUGAUUAAGACUGUGCAUAUCUUCAGAGCCACCAAUCAGUCCACUAUACCUGCUGAAUUACAAGAUGGGAUAAGGAAGAGGAAAUGCCCAGAAAUACACAUUAAAUCAGCAGAACCAUUGCAGGGGGUGGGGUUUUGUGCACUCCUCAUGGCUUUCGAUCUCACUUGCAGGCUGCUGACUCCACAUUCCUCCCCAACCCAGAGCAUGCUGCACAGCCCCCAGGCCAUGUAUAGUUACUCACCUGUUUGAACUCUCCCAUCAAAAUGUCUCACCUGCACAUCUCUGUGCUGUUCUUCUCCAGCCACAUCCCCUCACAGGCCUUGUUUCCAUGUCACCACGCUCUGUCAUCCCCCUUCCUCCAACCCAUCAUCAGACCUUGUAGAUUCAGGUGGGAAUCAUGGGGUUGUUGUGGAACAGCUCUCCUUCUUGCACCUAUUUGUUCCUUCUAUGUAUUCACAGCAAGCAGUUUAUCUUCUACCUGAGGUGAUUUUAGAGAUUUCGUUCCCAUGUCAUCCUGGAGCACUGUUUCUAGUGAUAUAGUCCAUCUCUGUUGCCCCACACAUUCUGCUGCCCAGAAUGUCUCCCCUCACGCAACCACACAGCCCUUGAUUACUCUACUGUCCAAGAGUCCUCUUUAACCCUUGGCAAUUCAGGGGGAAGGGCUAUCUGUUUAUCUCAUAAAUUAUAUCAGAUUACCCCUGACUAUAAGCUUUCAAUGUCCUUCCAUCCCAAUAUCUCUAAAACCCAGAGUUCCUAGUUUGGUCUGCUCUCCACAACUCACCUCCUGCUUCUGCCCCUGACCACCUCGAUAUCACCCUUAACUGGAGUAUUAAACUCCAUCCACAUGGACUUCUUUCUCUUAUUUUGAGAUGCCAAAACACUCUGUCCCAUCCUAGGGAAUCUCAUCAUAGGUUUCUUUAUGUCAAAAUAUUUAUUUCUUAAUUCAUCAGCUCGUUUGUAAUUAAGUUAUUUUCAUCCAUAGGUAUCAGCUCCAAUAUUGCUUGCAUGGCUGUACUUUUCAUAAAUACAGUCUCUAGUGACUUUCUCUCCUAUGGCAUUACAUCACAUUAUUCCCUCAUUUUAGAGCACAAGAGGUAUUGUAAUAGUUCAAAAUGUGCUGCUUUACUUGAUUGUUGCCUAUCCAAGUAAUUCAUGUUUUAUGAAUAAAUGAAAAUGAAUGUUCACUACUAGGAGUUAAGCUCAGUCUUCAUGACCAAAACAUAAGAGUCUCAUGGACAGCCUCUGGGUCUGGAAAACCAUGUUUCUGUUAAUCAGUGAGCUAUUUAUAUGGAGAACAUGUGAGGAACUUCCUUAUCUUUCUAUGGCCAUACAUGUAUUUCAGUUUUCUAAAUGAUUAAAUAUAUUAUUUAAAAAAAAACCCUCACAAGUGGAUGUUGGAAAGCUCUCUGUGAGCACUGCUAUUGAUCAGACCAAAAAUUAGGGACCCCUGAGUGGCUCAGUGGUUGAGCAUCUUCUUUGGCUCAGGGCAUGAUCCCAGAGCCCUGGGAUUGAGUCCCACAUCGGGAUCCUUGCAGGAAGCCUGCUUCCCCUCCGUCUGCCUAUGUCUCUGCCUCUCUCUGUCUCUCAUGAAUAAAUAAAAUCUUAAAAAAAAGACCAAAAAUUAACAUCUCAGAAGUGGGUAGAGCUGUUGAUGGAAAUUAGAACAGAUAUUUAUAGAAAUGGGGAAUCUCAAAUUGAGCCCAGAAAGAAGAAACAGGGAAGCUCUUCAUUCAAAAUCAAAGGGCUUUUACUCAUGCCAAUGGUUGAACAUGUUCCUACAGACCCAUCUUCUCUCAUGUAGCAGCAAUAAGCUCUCUUUGUAGAACUGCUGCUACCACACAACACACACACACAAACACAGAGCAACUAAGUAGGGGAAGUGGACAGCGAUCAAAACCAGGGAUAUUCUAGAGGUAAGUCAAUCUUUGAAGGAAAAAAAAAAUGACAAGUGGUGUUGAACAUCAAUGUAGCUGUAAAUUGGUCUCUCCACCACCCUCCCCUCCGCUAAAGAGAGAGGUGCUUGAUAAUUUGUCAGUUAUCAUGGUGUUAAUUCCCACCAUGUCUGAUUUCAAACUGUAAAUGACUUUACAAUCAAUUGGAAAAUUUCAGAAUAUUUGGCAAUUGGUUCUUGUGAGCCAAUGGAAGAUGGCUCCAGCACUCUACAGGCAUAGGAUGGGUUUCCCAUCCUUAUAGUUUAUCACAUGGCCAAGAGUGGGCAGGUUUUUGAGAGGAAUCAUCACUCGGAAAAAAAAGGUACUUUGUAGAGAAUUGAUUUUCUAUCUUCACAGCUUCUAGUCUGAGGCCAGGCCCCAGAAAGCAUGUGAGAUAGCUAAAAGUCCAAUAGAUAGUCUGCAGUCUUUGUCAUCCUGAAAAGCCAGAAGUUAAAAUGUAGGGCAUCCAUAGAUAUGGGGAAAAUUGAGUAGAAAUCCUAGGAAGGAGAGCAUUCGUAAAAUCUGUGCUAAUAUGUCUGGAGCAUGCAUAUAUAAGACCGAUACAGGCAGGCCAGCUAAGGACAAAAUCUGAGCUGCCAUCCAGAGACAGAGCUUGCACUUUGAUUCCAACCAAGUUAGUAUGCUGUAACAACCACAGAACACUCUUUAGGGGAAUAUAACAAAAUCCAGAGUCUGAACAAAAUAAUAUUCACAAUGUCAAGAAGGAAUCCAAAUUUAUACAACCUUCAAGGAAACAGGAUAAUAUGACCCAAUCUCAAGAAAAAGACAGUCAGUGGGAACUGACCCAGACUAAGACUCUAAAGCAAGUAUUAAUACUAUGUUCAGUAACAUAGUGGAAAUAUAUCCAUAAAGAAUUGAAAUGGGGGAUGGGAUGUUGCAAGAGAUGUAUUGGAAGGUGAGGUGGGGAGUCUUCAGAACCAACACAUGUCUGGAUCCCGUGAGAGGAGGAAGAAGAGGAAAAGACUGGAUAGGAAGAGGGCCAGUCUGUUUCUCCCAGGAGGGGGCCUGCCUCACUGCCCUCACCCAGCUCAGCUGCUUUGAAAGGCAGACUGAGAGAAGGAUGGCCACCUACAAAUGCAGCGAUGGCCCACAGGGGCAGCAGGUGGGGCUUCAUUCCACUGUGCUUCCCAGGGGGAGAUCUGAGCGUCCCGUCUUCAUCACUGCUGCAGUGCCCACUUCCAGGUCAUUUCUUCAAACUAUCCUCUUAUUCACCUAUUCUUCUGCUUCUUACACAUUCACCAAAUAGAAUCAGU